Molecule: small RNA, 534 nt
Filed under: Arabidopsis thaliana (thale cress)
Lineage: Eukaryota; Viridiplantae; Streptophyta; Magnoliopsida; Brassicales; Brassicaceae
Description: ATSL064360
Source: RNAcentral
UCUGGAAAGGACGAAAAGUUGGUAUAUUUAUUGCGAGUGGUAGUGGCUCUUUUGCAACCGUAAAACGAAAUCACCUAUGAGAAAAUUGGUGUUAUUCAACUAUGGAGUUAAAGUCAAUUUUUUAAGCUUUAAAUUUGUUUUUUGAUAUUGCUUUUAAGAAUAUGUUUAUAUGAAUUUCAAAAUCUCUGCAAUAUGUCUUGGAUUUUGAUUCUAAUGAUUUACUCAUGAAACUCCAAAGAGGUUUCGUUUCAAAUCAAUUAAUAUAUAAAGAUUUUACAAGUCUUUUAGUUUUGAAUAACAUUGAAUUUUAAUGAAAUAUUUAAAAUCUUAAUUGAAUAACACCAAACUUUAAAAUCUAUUAAGCAUGAUUUACAAAUAUGAGUUUCAAUAACACUAGAUUUUAAAGCUGAAUGUAGAAUCAUUAGUUGAAUAACAGUGGAUUAGUGUUGGAUUUCAAUUCUAUUAAAAUCCAUUAACGAAUAACACCUCCUAAAUUUAUGUUCCAAAUCAAAUCAGUUGUCCAUAUAUAUAAUU